Molecule: ribosomal RNA, 440 nt
Filed under: uncultured bacterium
Lineage: Bacteria
Description: partial 16S ribosomal RNA
Rfam family: Bacterial small subunit ribosomal RNA
Source: RNAcentral
CCUACGGGGGGCAGCAGUGGGGGAUAUUGCACAAUGGGGGAAACCCUGAUGCAGCGACGCCGCGUGGGUGAAGAAGCGCCUCGGCGCGUAAAGCCCUGUCAGCAGGGAAGAAAAUGACGGUACCUGAAGAAGAAGCCCCGGCUAACUACGUGCCAGCAGCCGCGGUAAUACGUAGGGGGCAAGCGUUAUCCGGAUUUACUGGGUGUAAAGGGGGCGCAGACGGCGAUGCAAGCCAGGAGUGAACGCCCGGGGCCCAACCCCGGGACUGCUCUUGGAACUGCGUGGCUAGAGUGCAGGAGGGGCAGGCGGAAUUCCUGGUGGAGCGGUGAAAUGCGUAGAUAUCAGGAGGAACACCGGUGGCGAAGGCGGCCUGCUGGACUGCAACUGACGUUGAGGCCCGAAAGCGUGGGGAGCAAACAGGAUUAGAUACCCCAGUAGUC